RNAcentral lists this ribosomal RNA (793 nucleotides) under uncultured Oxalobacteraceae bacterium. RNAcentral describes it as "bacterial SSU rRNA". It matches the Rfam family "Bacterial small subunit ribosomal RNA", at positions 8 to 796 of the family's 1533-position model. Lineage: Bacteria; Pseudomonadati; Pseudomonadota; Betaproteobacteria; Burkholderiales; Oxalobacteraceae. The record is from RNAcentral.
AGAGUUUGAUCCUGGCUCAGAUUGAACGCUGGCGGCAUGCCUUACACAUGCAAGUCGAACGGCAGCACGGGGGCAACCCUGGUGGCGAGUGGCGAACGGGUGAGUAAUAUAUCGGAACGUGCCAAGUAGUGGGGGAUAACUAGUCGAAAGAUUAGCUAAUACCGCAUACGCUUUACGAAGGAAAGUGGGGGAUCGCAAGACCUCAUGCUAUUUGAGCGGCCGAUAUCUGAUUAGCUAGUUGGUGGGGUAAGAGCCCACCAAGGCGACGAUCAGUAGCUGGUCUGAGAGGACGACCAGCCACACUGGGACUGAGACACGGCCCAGACUCCUACGGGAGGCAGCAGUGGGGAAUUUUGGACAAUGGGGGCAACCCUGAUCCAGCAAUGCCGCGUGAGUGAAGAAGGCCUUCGGGUUGUAAAGCUCUUUUGUCCGGAAAGAAAUCCUUUUGGCUAAUAUCCAGAGGGGAUGACGGUACCGGAAGAAUAAGCACCGGCUAACUACGUGCCAGCAGCCGCGGUAAUACGUAGGGUGCAAGCGUUAAUCGGAAUUACUGGGCGUAAAGCGUGCGCAGGCGGUUUUGUAAGUCUGACGUGAAAUCCCCGGGCUUAACCUGGGAAUUGCGUUGGAGACUGCAAGGCUAGAAUCUGGCAGAGGGGGGUAGAAUUCCACGUGUAGCAGUGAAAUGCGUAGAGAUGUGGAGGAACACCGAUGGCGAAGGCAGCCCCCUGGGUCAAGAUUGACGCUCAUGCACGAAAGCGUGGGGAGCAAACAGGAUUAGAUACCCCAGUAGUCC